Molecule: unclassified non-coding RNA, 199 nt
Filed under: soil metagenome
Description: partial contains 5.8S ribosomal RNA, internal transcribed spacer 2, and large subunit ribosomal RNA
Source: RNAcentral
AACGGUCUAUACCUGCGGUACCUGCGGAGGGAUCAUUAUCAAUUUACAGCGGACUUCGGUCCUGUCUGCACCCUUGUCUUUUGCGUACUAUAUGUUUCCUCGGUGGGCCUGCCUGCCGAUAGGACACUUAUAAACUCUUUUGUAAUUGCAAUCAGCGUCAGAAAACUAUAAUAGUUACAACUUUUAACAACGGAUCUCU